Molecule: ribosomal RNA, 468 nt
Filed under: uncultured bacterium
Lineage: Bacteria
Description: partial 16S ribosomal RNA
Rfam family: Bacterial small subunit ribosomal RNA
Source: RNAcentral
GACGAACGCUGGCGGCGUGCUUAACACAUGCAAGUCGAACGGAAAGGCCUUGUUCUUGUGGGGUGCUCGAGUGGCGAACGGAUGAGUAACACGUGAGUAACCUGCCAUUGACUUUGGGCUAACGCCAGGAAACUGGGGCUAAUACCGGAUAGGAGCUCCUGCUGCAUGGUGGGGGUUGGAAAGUUUCGGCGGUUGGGGAUGGACUCGCGGCUUAUCAGCUUGUUGGUGGGGUAGUGGCUUACCAAGGCUUUGACGGGUAGCCGGCCUGAGAGGGUGACCGGCCACAUUGGGACGGAGGUGCGGCCCAGACUCCUACGGGAGGCAGCAGUGGGGAAGAUUUCACAAUGGGCGGAAGCCUGAUGCAGCAACGCCGCGUGCGGGAUGACGGCCUUCGGGUUGUAAACCGCUUUCGCCUGUGACGAAGCGUGAGUGACGGUAAUUGGUAAAGAAGCACCGGCUAACUCCGUG